Molecule: transfer RNA, 62 nt
Filed under: uncultured Sutterella sp.
Lineage: Bacteria; Pseudomonadati; Pseudomonadota; Betaproteobacteria; Burkholderiales; Sutterellaceae
Rfam family: tRNA
About the family: Transfer RNA (tRNA) molecules are approximately 80 nucleotides in length. Their secondary structure includes four short double-helical elements and three loops (D, anti-codon, and T loops). Further hydrogen bonds mediate the characteristic L-shaped molecular structure. tRNAs have two regions of fundamental functional importance: the anti-codon, which is responsible for specific mRNA codon recognition, and the 3' end, to which the tRNAs corresponding amino acid is attached (by aminoacyl-tRNA synthetases). tRNAs cope with the degeneracy of the genetic code in two manners: having more than one tRNA (with a specific anti-codon) for a particular amino acid; and 'wobble' base-pairing, i.e. permitting non-standard base-pairing at the 3rd anti-codon position.
Source: RNAcentral
GAUAGCUCAGUCGGUAGAGCGACGGACUGUUAAUCCGCAGGUCGCUGGUUCGAGCCCAGCUC